GAUGAACGCUGGCGGCGUGCCUAAUACAUGCAAGUCGAGCGAACGGACGAGAAGCUUGCUUCUCUGAUGUUAGCGGCGGACGGGUGAGUAACACGUGGAUAACCUACCUAUAAGACUGGGAUAACUUCGGGAAACCGGAGCUAAUACCGGAUAAUAUUUUGAACCGCAUGGUUCAAAAGUGAAAGACGGUCUUGCUGUCACUUAUAGAUGGAUCCGCGCUGCAUUAGCUAGUUGGUAAGGUAACGGCUUACCAAGGCAACGAUGCAUAGCCGACCUGAGAGGGUGAUCGGCCACACUGGAACUGAGACACGGUCCAGACUCCUACGGGAGGCAGCAGUAGGGAAUCUUCCGCAAUGGGCGAAAGCCUGACGGAGCAACGCCGCGUGAGUGAUGAAGGUCUUCGGAUCGUAAAACUCUGUUAUUAGGGAAGAACAUAUGUGUAAGUAACUGUGCACAUCUUGACGGUACCUAAUCAGAAAGCCACGGCUAACUACGUGCCAGCAGCCGCGGUAAUACGUAGGUGGCAAGCGUUAUCCGGAAUUAUUGGGCGUAAAGCGCGCGUAGGCGGUUUUUUAAGUCUGAUGUGAAAGCCCACGGCUCAACCGUGGAGGGUCAUUGGAAACUGGAAAACUUGAGUGCAGAAGAGGAAAGUGGAAUUCCAUGUGUAGCGGUGAAAUGCGCAGAGAUAUGGAGGAACACCAGUGGCGAAGGCGACUUUCUGGUCUGUAACUGACGCUGAUGUGCGAAAGCGUGGGGAUCAAACAGGAUUAGAUACCCUGGUAGUCCACGCCGUAAACGAUGAGUGCUAAGUGUUAGGGGGUUUCCGCCCCUUAGUGCUGCAGCUAACGCAUUAAGCACUCCGCCUGGGGAGUACGACCGCAAGGUUGAAACUCAAAGGAAUUGAUGGGGACCCGCACAAGCGGUGGAGCAUGUGGUUUAAUUCGAAGCAACGCGAAGAACCUUACCAAAUCUUGACAUCCUUUGACAACUCUAGAGAUAGAGCCUUCCCCUUCGGGGGACAAAGUGACAGGUGGUGCAUGGUUGUCGUCAGCUCGUGUCGUGAGAUGUUGGGUUAAGUCCCGCAACGAGCGCAACCCUUAAGCUUGGUUGCCAUCAUUAAGUUGGGCACUCUAAGUUGACUGCCGGUGACAAACCGGAGGAAGGUGGGGAUGACGUCAAAUCAUCAUGCCCCUUAUGAUUUGGGCUACACACGUGCUACAAUGGACAAUACAAAGGGCAGCGAAACCGCGAGGUCAAGCAAAUCCCAUAAAGUUGUUCUCAGUUCGGAUUGUAGUCUGCAACUCGACUACAUGAAGCUGGAAUCGCUAGUAAUCGUAGAUCAGCAUGCUACGGUGAAUACGUUCCCGGGUCU
RNAcentral lists this ribosomal RNA (1372 nucleotides) under uncultured bacterium. RNAcentral's name for it is "bacterial SSU rRNA". It matches the Rfam family "Bacterial small subunit ribosomal RNA", at positions 28 to 1381 of the family's 1533-position model. The record is from RNAcentral.